CCUUCUCCUGCUUAUUUAACUCCGAUGGAGCCAGGGUGGAGGCAACUACAUCAUAACAAAGAAAAAGAUUUGUCACCAAGGAAUGGCAGCUUGAUCCUUUCCCCAGCCAUCUAAAGACAUGCCAGCUCAAUACAGUGCUAAGGUCUUCUUCUAACUCCAGGGCAUCAGGUUCAGGUGCCACAGGCCCUCCAGUCUGAUCCCCCUCACUGUUCUUGUUCCCCAGGAAGCCAGAUUCCUGCUGUGCCACUGACCCGUCACCAGCUGCCCUUAUGGAUUCUAAUGACUCU
Molecule: long non-coding RNA, 287 nt
Organism: Hipposideros armiger (great roundleaf bat)
Lineage: Eukaryota; Metazoa; Chordata; Mammalia; Chiroptera; Hipposideridae
Exons: 3
Source: RefSeq, a predicted model, not a curated record